GCCUACGGGGGGCAGCAGUGAGGAAUAUUGGUCAAUGGUCGGGAGACUGAACCAGCCAAGCCGCGUGAGGGAUGAAGGUACAGAGUAUCGUAAACCUCUUUUGUCAGGGAACAAAGGCGGGGACGUGUCCCCGGAUGAGUGUACCUGAAGAAAAAGCAUCGGCUAACUCCGUGCAAGCAGCCGCGGUAAUACGGAGGAUGCGAGCGUUAUCCGGAUUUAUUGGGUUUAAAGGGUGCGCAGGCGGUCUGUUAAGUCAGCGGUCAAAGCCCGGGGCUCAACCCCGGCCCGCCGUUGAAACUGGCAGG
RNAcentral lists this ribosomal RNA (305 nucleotides) under uncultured bacterium. Its description in RNAcentral is "bacterial SSU rRNA". It matches the Rfam family "Bacterial small subunit ribosomal RNA", at positions 337 to 640 of the family's 1533-position model. The record is from RNAcentral.